CUCAGCCUCCCUCAGCGUCCGGAGUAGCUAGGACUACAGGCGCCCGCUACCACGCCCGGCUAAUUUUUUUGUAGUUUUAGUAGAGACGGGGUUUCACCGUGUUAGCCAGGAUGGUCUCCAUCUCCUGACCUCGUGAUCCGCCCGCCUCGGCCUCCCAAAGCGUUGGGAUUACAGGAGUGAGCCACCGCGCCCGGCCGAUAUAAAGGUAAAUGCUAUCUAAGCCACAGUAACCUUGAGAUACUGUGGGCCUGGGGCAGAGAAGAGCAUCUGUAGAAGAGGCAGUGGACCACAGUACUGGAUCUGGAAGUUCUGAGCCUUUACUUGUUGAGGAGCAGUGAGUACCUAUUUGGGAUUUCUGUGUUUAACUGCUGAAGAGAUCUUUUCCCUUCAUGGCUUUUCAAAUGCUACCCAAAUAACCAGCUCCAAAUUCUCUGUCAUCUGUCCAGCAGUCUUACAGCAAUUGAACUUUCACCCAUGUGAGGAUCGGCCCAAGCACAAAACAAGACCAAGUCAUUCAGAAGUUUGGGGAUAUGGAUUCCUGUCAGUGACGAUUAUUAAUCUGGCAUCUCU
RNAcentral lists this long non-coding RNA (570 nucleotides) under Homo sapiens (human). Its description in RNAcentral is "non-protein coding lnc-SLC39A8-1:6". Lineage: Eukaryota; Metazoa; Chordata; Mammalia; Primates; Hominidae. The record is from RNAcentral.